UACGUAGGGGGCGAGCGUUGUCCGGAUUUAUUGGGCGUAAAGAGCGUGUAGGCGGUUCGGUAAGUCUGUCGUGAAAUCCUGAGGCUCAACCUCGGACGUGCGAUGGAUACUGCCGGGCUAGAGGAUGGUAGAGGCGAGUGGAAUUCCGCGUGUAGCAGUGAAAUGCGUAGAGAUGCGGAGGAACACCGAUGGCGAAGGCAGCCCCCUGGGCCGACAUUGACGCUCAGGCACGAAAGCGUGGGGAGCAAACAGG
Molecule: ribosomal RNA, 253 nt
Filed under: uncultured bacterium
Lineage: Bacteria
Description: partial 16S ribosomal RNA
Rfam family: Bacterial small subunit ribosomal RNA
Source: RNAcentral